Molecule: transfer RNA, 69 nt
Filed under: Brookesia karchei
Lineage: Eukaryota; Metazoa; Chordata; Lepidosauria; Squamata; Chamaeleonidae
Description: partial tRNA-Trp
Source: RNAcentral
AGAAACUUAGGAUUUAUAUUAAACCCGUGGCCUUCAAAGCCAUUAAAAAGAGAACAACUCUUAGUUUCU